UGGCAGGCAAAAACAUCUGUAAGCAUUGGUCCCGAGAAAACCCAACAAAUAUUACAAAUAAUCAAAACUGCAUCACCUGGUGCUUCGAAUAAGCUCACAUCCACCGCCUCAUCAAUGACAAGGACAGCAACUCAUCAAAGCAAUUAAGCAUCCACAAAACGGAGAGGCAUUCUUUCACCAAUCACCGACACAUGUUCAUGCACAGAUGCUGUCAGGUGAGGUCGCGCCAUAUAAGUAGUCACAGCAUAUCAGUUUCAAAAGAGACUAACAGUCAGGCAUAUUAUAAACGGACAAGAUGAUUUGUCACCGGCCAGAUUCAACAAAAGCAGCAGCAAGUAAACAUUGUAUUGAAUGGCGAAAAGAAUCAUAUAUUGCAGCUCUGCUGCCGUUCCCACUUCCUUACAUACAUCAUUAUUAGCUCUUAUCUACGCAGCAGUAACGGAAACACAUGAGAAUACCUCUUUUUUCAACUUGUUCUUUUCUCAGGUAACAAUCGAACAACAAUCUUCAAAAGAACACGUAAAAUGAAGAAAAAAUAAAAAGAAGACAGGCUGAAAGGCAAUAGGCAAACUCCCAUUGUAGAGAGUUGCAGCUAAUAGGCAAAAUAUCCAUACAUUAGGAACUGAUAUAGAGACCUUAAGCUUGGACCUUAUUGUCCCACUUGAGGGGCUUCACCACCUCCCAUGUGAAGUCGGGGUCAUCUCUGCCAAAGUGUCCAUAUGCUGCAGUCUUCAAGAACCUGCUAUUGCCACCUCUCUUGAGGUCAAGAUUGAUGGAAAUCAUACCAGGUCUGAAAU
This 797-nucleotide long non-coding RNA is filed under the name Populus trichocarpa (black cottonwood). Its description in RNAcentral is "long non-coding RNA (PTRI_LNC002134)". The record is from RNAcentral. Lineage: Eukaryota; Viridiplantae; Streptophyta; Magnoliopsida; Malpighiales; Salicaceae.